AACUGUCUACAAGAAAGAAAAAUAAUAUUUUUCUUUUACUUUGACCUCUUGCUAUUUUGGCAAGUAACAUAAAAUAUAUUAGCCAUUCCAUCAGAUGGCUGGAGAGAAAAACUAGCUGCGAUGAGGAAAAACGAAUUAAAGGAGCAUUAAUAAAGAUUAUCUAUGAAAGAAAAUAAGGUCAAAAUUAGAACUCUGCAUUUUAAAGCCACCUUUCAAAAAUGCAAGCUGCUUUGCCCAAUGCUAAAAUCCAUUCAUUUUACUAAUCAUGCAAUCAACCAAUCUCCAUUAUCUCCAGCUAGCUAGCUAUAAACAUGCUAUAGACUGGAGUGAAAGAGGGAGAGUGUGAGGUUGAGAGACAGAGAGAGAGAGAGAGAAAGAAAGAAAAAGAGAGAGAGAGAGAGAGAGAUUACUACACCCAGCCUUUUAUAAAGCCGUUUCUUUCAUUAUAACAGGUCUUUUCAUCAAAAUGACACAGAACCUUUAAAUUUGGGCAUAAUACUCCAGUACAGUACACAGCUAUAGCUUAAAAUGGAUUUAGAACCUGCUCCAGAAAGAAAACAAACUCCCUCGUUUGACACACAAAUUGUUUACGAUUCAUUAAAAAGCAAAAUUGCAUAUCACAGUGCUGGCAGCUGAGUCCAUAUGGGUGCAAGGGGUAUUCACUCAUCUCUUUGUAUGCUGGCAGUACCAAACCGAAGUUUAGCACUGUGCAGCUGAGAUUUUGUGCAGCCAGACGAUGCAUGAGCUUUUGGAAAUCCUAUAAUCCUGGCUUCAAUCAAGAGGAUCUGCUGUUGCUGAAGGCGUAAACAAGGAGAGAAGCAGCAUGUGACCCCUGCUCCUGCACCUUCAAGGAAUCCCAAGCCAAAACGAGUGCAAUGGUAAAGCUCAUACUGGAUACUCAAGAUGACACACACAUUGCAGAUGAUCUUGCUGAACCCAGAGAAAGAAGUCCUUUACCCCAUGCAGGAAAGUUGUCUUUGGACUCUGCAUUUCCCCCUGUAGCUCUGUUGUGUGUGUUUCUCCCUGCAUCCCUCUCGCUCCUCUGAUUUUCUUCUUGCCAUCUGUAUUCCCCUUUUGCCUCAUCUGAAACAAGCAUCAAGAUCUUGUUUCUGACAGAACGGUCUGUCAAUAUGGAAACACACUGACAUCACAGACAGUGCUGUGACUUCAUGUCUGAAAGAAACAGGAGGAACAGAUGAAAAGAGUGAAGGGGAAGGAAUGACACAUACAAACAUUUUUAAAAAAUAAGUAAAAAUUCUUCUCUAUCAACCCCAAAUGUAAAGGAACAUAAACCAGAUUUUUUUUUAAGUCUAAAUAUAACCAACUAUUUCCUAAUCUGUGGCCAUAACUCAGCACAACAUUUCAACAUGCUUUUCACCCGAGAGAGGUACCUGUCCCCUAGGAGCAUGCGCUUUGCUGGCUCAAGGCCUGCGUGACAGCCAAAACACCCUCUUGAGACGGACUAAACACGGACUAUUCUGGAAAAAAGCUAAUAUCAGGCAUAAUGCUCAUACCUGGGAGAAGCCUUUAGACGGAAAGAAGGACUCCUGCCCUGGACCAAUCUAAAACAUCUAAGUAAAUGCAAAUUCAUAGAAUUAAAAGUAUCCAUCAAAACCACAAACUCAGUUUUGAUGCAGCUGGAUCAAAGGUAGCAUUACCCCACUGAGGUGGGGACACAAGACAUGCCCAGAAAAUAUUCUUACUGAGUACACGGAGGUGGAAUAUCACCGUAGUUUUUUUUUUCUUCCUAGAAUGAAAUAUUAACAAAAGUGUCUAACCAUUAUUUCUAUUACUAGGUUUUUUUGUAUAAGAAUUUGGAAGGAGUUAGAAGCCCCACGUUUUCUUUGCUAUUUGAAAUAUUUAUUUUAGUUCUAAUAUUAGAGGGCAUCCAGGAGAUAUUGCUUUCCUGCCAUCUCCAGAGCCACUGCAAAACUCUAAUAAGGAGAUUCAUAACUAGUAGGAGAGGAGCUCAAGAAAACUAAAAGGUUAAUAUAUUCUAACUAGAUGUUGGGUAUAGAAUGUCAGAUCUGUCAAAUUUCAUUACAGUUUGCUGCUCAAUGAAAAAGAUUUGAUUUCUUUUGCCACUGUCCUACUAUGUUCAAGUCACACAGUGCCAGCAGCAACCAGCCAACGACCACAGGCUGGCACUGAGCGGGCCCGAGUGGGAAGCCAGCCGCAAGGACCAUCUGUUUCCGAUUUCUAGCGAAGCCAAGAUGUGCAGUGAAGUGCAUUCCAUUCACCCAGCCAGCCUUCUCCCUGCUCAAGUUAUUAGUGUUACAAGUGAAAUUAUCUUUUCCAAACAGCGGGGGAGCUAUAAUCCUUAUGGAACAAGACUUUAAAAAAAACCAAAAAAGAAAAAAAAAAGGACAGAAAAAAGGUCCCCCAACACCCCCCCCGCUUCAAACAUCUUUUGUUAAAGUUGUUGAUGACAUUGUUUGUAAAUUCAAUUGCCAUGUUCACAGGCUUUAUAAUUUUAAAGGAUUUUUUAUUAAGAACUAUAUCCUCUAAGGGAAGAAUGUGUACGUUGGUUCACGGGAUCUAAUGUAAUAAACCAUUCAAAUAUAUUUAGAGCAUUAUUUAUGAAUAGAGUUGAAAAUGACAAGA
Harpia harpyja (harpy eagle) is the source of this 2604-nucleotide long non-coding RNA. RefSeq lists it as uncharacterized. The record is from RefSeq and is a predicted model, not a curated record. The transcript has 2 exons. NCBI's taxonomy places the organism in Eukaryota, Metazoa, Chordata, Aves, Accipitriformes, Accipitridae.